RNAcentral lists this ribosomal RNA (912 nucleotides) under uncultured bacterium. RNAcentral's name for it is "bacterial SSU rRNA". It matches the Rfam family "Bacterial small subunit ribosomal RNA", at positions 15 to 937 of the family's 1533-position model. The record is from RNAcentral.
GAUCCUGGCUCAGGACGAACGCUGGCGGCGUGCUUAACACUUGCAAGUCAUGGGGGUCCGCAAGGACAACCGGCGAACGGGUGCGUAACACGUGAGCGACCUGCCUGAGUGCGGGGGAUAGCCGGCCCAACGGCCGGGUAAUACCGCAUACGCUUGUGCUGGGGCAUCCUGGGACAAGGAAACCUCCGGGGCACUCAGAGGGGCUCGCGGCCUAUCAGCUAGUUGGCGGGGUAAUGGCCCACCAAGGCGACGACGGGUAGCUGGUCUGAGAGGAUGGCCAGCCACAUUGGGACUGAGAGACGGCCCAGACUCCUACGGGAGGCAGCAGUGGGGAAUCUUGCGCAAUGGCCGAAAGGCUGACGCAGCGACGCCGCGUGUGGGAGGAAGCUCUUCGGGGUGUAAACCACUGUUGCCCGGGACGAACGAUGAGCUUUUGCUCAUGUAACGGUACCGGGUGAGGAAGCACCGGCUAACUCUGUGCCAGCAGCCGCGGUAAUACAGAGGGUGCGAGCGUUGUCCGGAAUCACUGGGCGUAAAGGGCGCGUAGGCGGCUCGAUAAGGUUGCGGUGAAAGCCCGGGGCUCAACCCCGGGUCGGCCGUGGCAACUGUCGAGCUGGAGCACUGUAGAGGCAGGUGGAAUUCCGGGUGUAGCGGUGGAAUGCGUACAGAUCCUGAAGAACACCGGUGGCGAAGGCGGCCUGCUGGGCAGUGGCUGACGCUGAGGCGCGACAGCGUGGGGAGCAAACAGGAUUAGAUACUCUGGUAGUCCACGCCGUAUACGAUGGGCACUAGGUGCUUGAGGGAGCGACCCUCCGAGUGCCGGCGCUAACGCAUUAAGUGCCCCGCCUGGGGAGUACGGCCGCAAGGCUCAAACUCAUAGGAAUUGACCGGGGGCCCGCACAAGCGGUGGAG